GGUUCGCCUGAGGAUUGGCAACGACCUCAAAGAGUACCUGUAAACCUCUCUGCACUGCACACACACACACACAGAGUUGACCACGUACGCACAGGCGCACUCGUUGCCGUCGCGGUGGACUGUGGUGCGGGCGUCUUUCUCAACAAGGGGAAGAGUUUCGGAGCAGGGCAUCGCGCGUAGGACGUGACUACGCCUCUCCCCACGCAGCAUCGUACCUGCGAAUCACCUGCGCUUCUUAAAACAUUCCUCCGCUCUGGUGACUAAAGCAAGCCAUGCUCGGGAGGAAAGGGCACUGGCAGGCUGUGCUGUGCAUUCGGCGCCCUCGCUUCCUCACGGGAGGGUUUCAUCCCUCUCCUCCGUCCUCACUCCAGCGUGCGCAGGCACUCUGUCUCGACUCAGCGGCUGCAACGGCCGCACAUGAGUCACUGGCGCAGUCACCUGCUUUAGCGGAGGUGGACAUCAUCCACUCAACCACCUCCCUCGCCGUCGUGCUGGCGGCGCCGUCCGCGAACGUUCUGGCGACGCGCACAAAGCCGGCGACGCCUACACAGGAGGCGCUGCGCGACGCGCUCGGCACGCGGGACGCGUACCGCAUCUUUUGCGCGCUUGUACGUGAGCAGCAGACGGCAGUCGGUGCGCCAUGCAGUGAGCUGGAGCGCCUGCUCUCCAACAUCGAGGGGGAGGCCGAUUCAUUCGCGGCAGCGGCAUGCGCUUGUGUGGCGGUGGCGCUGAGUCCGUCGGAUUGGCCGCCCUGGGUGUCGGCACGCUUUGCUGCUACUGGGACGGCGGCGAUGCCGAUUGCACACAGACGUGCACCGGUGGACACGGGGAAGGCGACAGGCGCCGGUGAGGCAGCCAAGGAAGUUAGAGACGUCUGGGCGGCGGCGUCGCCGCUGCGUGUCACGGCCGCGGGCAUCCUGCGCUGCAUUGCUGCCCGGCUUCCCACCCAAGACGCGUGCCGCUCGGCGUCAUCGCCUUGUCUGCCUUUGCUCAAGUGGCUCACGCUCCUCUGUGGGGUGGCACUGGCGCCGUCGUCCAAGACAGCGCUGCGCCUCGCGGCUGAGGUCAGUUGCGUUUCUCUCGACGCCGCUGGCGUGGCCCUGGCCGCGUUCUGCGCGUCUCACUCGUUGACUGCCGAGCGUAGCAAGGGCGACGGCGGUUCCUUCGCUGCAGGCCACACUCGGGAGACCUGGUGGCUGUCGCUCUGGACGCAGCUUACCCAACCCGGUUCUCAGCCGCCGUCGCUGCCCCCCUUCUCGCUCGACGCCGUGUCCGCCUCGCCAGCUGUGGUGGUGUGGUCCAGCGGCCUCAUGUCCGCUGACCUUCGCGAGAAGCGCGUUUCGUGGCAUCUGCACUGUCUCAUCGCGUCGAAGGAGGCACACAGUGCGGCGCGACUCUUGGCUGGCGCAUGCCGCGAUACAUCAAAAGCGCCGCGCGGUGCCACCAUUCCUGUCCUGGCGCCCACACAGGCGGAGCUCCUCUCCUCUCUCCCACCUCAGCUAUUGGAGGAGGGCCGCCUAGGUGAGAAGCUAGCUAUGAAUCUAGUGGAGCACCUUAAGCACAUGCAGUCGCGGCCACGGCGGCCUUGGAGUGGCUCACCACAGUCCCUAUCGUUUGUGCCGACCGUUGCAGCGAACGCUGUCUUGUACGCACGCAUGCUGCAAUACCUCCUGACCUCCAGCGCGCAAGUGCGCAGCAGGGACAGCUAUGUGCAUUAUCUUCACAAUCUGUCACUGCUGCUGUCCCAGAGCAGCAUCUACGCGCUGGCGGCGUCGUUGGUUCCGGCCGAUCAGCCCUUAAAAACCGUCAUGGUGGCUGCCAAAGACACGUAUCGAGAAGGUCACAUGAAGCAGCUCGUCGGUGCUGUGCGCCAGGUCGUUGAUUCUCUCUGUGAAGAGCCCAUCCCUCGCUUGGCCGCUCCGGCGGCCACCGACGCCGUCACUGAAAAUGGCGUCGCCUCCACGCGGAGGGCUCUGAAGACUGGCGCAGCGCUCUCCUCCGGCGGCGUGGCACCGCCGAAGGGCAAGAGGGAGUGUAAGGCGGCGAAGCUGGUGGAGGAGAAGGCUCUCCUCGAUCGUGCAGCGGCCAACUCGAGCGGUGCCGCGUCGUGGCGCUGGCGUGAGGAUGCACUAUCGGAAGUGGACGGCACGGUGCAGGCGGCGGUGCGUCUCCUCACGUCGCUCUUGGAGCUGUGCUCCAGCCGCAAGAACAGCCUCCCGCUGCGCGUUGCCGAGCCGAAGUGGCGUCGAGAGUUGCGUGAGCGAACCGCCGUGCGUGCACACAAGUUUGAGCUGCUCCUCCAGGAGCUCCCACACGCGGAGCUGCGCGCCGUGUUGCAAACCCUCCUAGGGCAUGGUUACAUUCGAGAGGGCAGUCAACUGGGGGUUUCGUUGGUGAAAGGCGAUCAGGUGGAUCUGCGAUACUACACCUUACCCUUGCUCGGGUCGCUUUACUUGGCGGUGUGUGCCCCGCCAGGUUCCCAGACACCUGCCCAAGUCGUAGCUUCGAGCACGUCUUCCCUAUCGUUCAGUGCACCACCCUUUGCCGGCGCAGAGGCUGUGACUGAGUCGGAGAAGCAAGCGGUCUACCGGAUGUACCGGCGGCGGCUCGAGAUCUACGGCAAUGCUGAUGUCAACGUCACUGCACCCUCGUACGCGCCCGCUAGAGACCGCCGCGGAUGCGGCGGUGUUGAGGGUGAGCAUCACGACGGCGUUGCUGCGCCGACCCGCCACGACUCGGAGGGCUCUGCGGCUGCGGCAACCACUGCACUUGUACGCACCCCUGAGAACAAACUUGUUCAGGCACUGGUGCUCGCCAGCACGCGCCCCGCGACGACUCUCGCUAGCUACGCGACGGCCGAACUCGCAAACUGCUUGCUGAACCGCCGCGUCGAUGUGGCGGGGAGGGGCAUGGUGGUGGACGUCGGGUCUGCUGGAAUUUCCCAGGACCACUCUACCGGCAGAGGUACAGGCGCCGUGUUCGGCCCGUGGCUUCGCACAGGGGUGGUGACAUGGUGACAAGAAAGCCAUGUCGCUCUUGAGGGCAGUCGAGGGAGGGGAGGGAGGGAGGGAGGGGUGGGGCGAACGAGGUCAAGCGAGGGGCUUUCGUUUCGUGCUCACGCGUAUGUGUGCGCAUAGAAGCACGGGCGUUAUACGUUGCCUCUGCUUCGCAUCCCGACACUCUCUCCUCGCCGCAGCACGUGACAUGUUCCGAGUGUGGUCACCCACUUCAUCCGUCUUCUUAUUAACAUGAUGUGCCUGUCUCUCUGUUUUUCUCUGUUGUGUGCUGUGUGUGUCGGUAUUGCCGCUCCUGGUUCUCGCUGUCCCUUUUUUUGUUUGGCUGCUUCCGCACAUGCAGCCCCCUUCUUCCUUUCUUGCUACCCACUGCGCUGCCCAGAAAAGCUUGCAUACCGCACGGCAGCGCUGCCAUGGGUUUUUUUUUCGACACUGCGUCCUCCCCCUUCCCCCUUUCCACACACACACACACAUACAUACACGCAUACACACAGUGCGCUGCUUCUGUGCUGAUUGUGCUCUCGCGAAGAGCGUUUUUUUCAUUUGCGCCAUGGGUCUCCGUCUAGAGGUGCUGUGCUACGUCGUGUCUGUGCGCUCCGCUCUUGCUCUAUCCUUUUGUUUUAAGCGCUGUUAUGUACCUCGCUACCGUACACGCCUCUCCCUCUCCCCCCUCCCCUUCGUGCCUCCCCAUCUCUUGUGUGCACGCGUGUUUCUCUGCUGCCUCGAUUGGAUUGCUCCGGCCUGAAGCUCAUUCUCUUUCUUAGGCCUUUUUUUUCCGCUUCGAGGGAGGGGAGAAGUGGUGGUUUCAGUGAAGAGCCGAGGAUGGCGCAGCUGUAGAUGGCUGAAGGGGGGGGGGGAGGCGGGAGAGGCGCACGGCGACGUCGAGGCACUCUCUGUCCUCUUGCUUUUCUCGUGCGCUUCUGUCGUCUUGCCGUGGCCGCAGGAUGCGAAUGGCCGUGACCGUGAGGCCGUCCAGUAGCGCCUCGCCGAAGAGCGCGUAAGCCGCAUAACAAAGUAACCACACCGUCUCUCGCGCGGCCGAGG
RNAcentral lists this unclassified non-coding RNA (4058 nucleotides) under Leishmania donovani. Its description in RNAcentral is "gene:LdHU3.35.2600(CDS-product:hypothetical_prote in_conserved)". Lineage: Eukaryota; Euglenozoa; Kinetoplastea; Trypanosomatida; Trypanosomatidae. The record is from RNAcentral.